Molecule: long non-coding RNA, 2352 nt
Organism: Dipodomys spectabilis (banner-tailed kangaroo rat)
Lineage: Eukaryota; Metazoa; Chordata; Mammalia; Rodentia; Heteromyidae
Exons: 3
Source: RefSeq, a predicted model, not a curated record
CGGGUCCCCGAGCGCGCGGCGCGGAGGGCGGGAGUCGCGCUUUUUACAUCGUACAAGAUUGCAGCAAAGGCUGUAGAUGAAGUACAAGUGGUUGAACAUGAACCAUGCUCUGAGUUAAAUUACUAAUGCUGAAAGAAAAGAACAAAGAUUACAUCAAAAAAGCCCCGUUGAGUGACUGGACUGUACCAUCUACAUUUAGUAUGUGUCCAGGACCACACAGAAGUGAAGCAAAAAGAAUGGAAGAAAACCGUCAGGAAAGCCAUGAUGGUGUUUAUAACAGCUCUUCCUUUCAGUGAGCAUGUAUUUUCACCUGAUCUUGAGAUGGAAGACUUUCUGAUGAUGGAUACUUUGAUCCUCAGGCUUUCACAAUGUGAACAUCUUGCUCUGUGAUUGCAGUGUCUGAAAGUGCAUAUUUUUUCUUCCAAUUGGACAAGCAAAUAUUUUAUCUGUUGAGUAACUGAGGAAACAUUAACCCUUUAAAUACUGUAACAAAUUGAUUGUGUUGCACUUACUUAGAGAUACUAGCUUGGCUUUCAGGAGACAGGUGUCAAAUAGGAAGCAAAUCUCAACUGAGUAAAGAGACAAUCCAUUAUCAAAGACUGUUACAAGAUUAGGAAAAGGUGAGCAUCUGAAGAGGUAGGCUCACCGGUUUGGUUUUUCUCUUUCAGAGAGAAUUAAGUAAGGCUAGAAAGAACUGAAUAAGUGCUGAUGGAAAGGGAGAUGAAAGGUGGCCUGACCUUUCAUUACAUCCGAGUGUUUUUCUUUGCGAGGAGCUGUGUACUCUGCAGGACCUAAGCGGGCCAUGUGCCUGCUCAGGCUGAUGCUGAGCCAAAUUUCAGGGACCUUGGGAAAACAGACAGGCCUAACCAAAAUUUGGUUAGCAAACAUUUUUUUCCUAUUGAUCAGUGGAACAAGAAGUUUAGCUAAUCAUUUAUGAGGCCAAGAAUAAAAACUUGGAGAAUCUCAGUCUGGUUUCGUUAUAGGUAAAUAAAGAAGCGUCUGGAAGAGUUACAUAAGUCACAUGGGACAGAUCAUUUUUUUUUUUUGUACAGUAAGUCAUUUCCUAAAAACAACAAACAUGAGUGAGUUAUUUAACCUUUGGUAUUUUUUCCAGAAGUACAGGGCUCAGUUAUAAUUAAAGUACUUUACACACAUACACAAAGAUGUCAUGAUGAAAUUGAAUUUUAAAAUGCAUGAUGAAAUUGAAUUUUAAAAUGUCAUACAAAUAUUAUGAUAUAUACCAGGUAGGUGCUGGUGGCUCAUGUCUGUAAUCCCAGCACAUAGGGGGAUAAAAUCAGGGGUGUCACAGUUCCUGGACAGGACAGGCAAAAACAUUUGUAGUACACCAUAGCAACUGAAAAAAAAAACAAAACUGAGCAUGGUAGUGUGUACUUGUCAUCCCAGUCACACUAGGAAGCCAAAUAUUAAUAGGAGGAUCAUAGUUCAGACUGUCCUUGGCAAAAAGCAAGACCUAUUUUUAAUUUCUCGAAAAAUCAUCAUAUAUCCUGCUAUGCAGCUCUCAGGCCUAGUCUCCAAAGAAAUGCAAAUCAAUAUACAAGAGACAUAGAGGCACACCCAUGUUUACAGUAGCUACUAGUUAUAGUAGCUAAGAUAUGGAACCAGCCCUGGUGCCCAGCAACAAAUGAUGGAAAAAUGAAAAUACACACAAUGGAACAUUAUUCAGCCAAAAGGAAUGAAAUGCUGUUUGUAGGAAAAUGGACAGAACUGGAGAACAUUAUGUUAAGCAAGAUAAACCAAGCUCACGAAGAUAGAAGUCCAUACUUUUUGCUCAUAUUGUGGAAUCCAGACUUAAAAAAAAAUGCUAUGAAGGGUGGAGAGAGCUGGAAAGAACAGGGUGAUGCAGACAGGAUAUUAUAGAAGUUCAUUAAAUAUAGUUGUGAAAACAGCGUAAUGGAACCCACCAAAACUGUUAAAAAGAAUGGUGAGGGAUGAGGUGAGAGAAGGAUUGGACAGAAAGGAGAAGGGUCAAGAAAGACUCGUACAAGUGGAUGAACUGAUGGAAGGACAUUACCCUCAUGCGAUCAACAUCACAAAUAAACUUUAUACAAGUAUUCCACCCUAAUAAAAAAGUUUAAAAAUGACACAUUAAAAGUGACCAGAGCAAAAAGUUCUGGAAAUGGUGCUUAAACAGAACACUCACUCAAAAAGCACAAGCACAAAACUGAGUUCAAGCUCCAAUAUCAUCAAAACAUACCAUAUUACGUAUAUUACAUGCUGCUUUUAGGGUCAGGAGUAACUUAAAGCAUUUCCCAAGAUAAUUUAAACCUUACAAUGUAACUGUUGCUUACGAUGACUUUAUUACAAUUACUACAUCUACCUAUAGCAGUUUGA